RNAcentral lists this ribosomal RNA (3341 nucleotides) under Drosophila melanogaster (fruit fly). Its description in RNAcentral is "eukaryotic LSU rRNA". It matches the Rfam family "Eukaryotic large subunit ribosomal RNA", at positions 343 to 3185 of the family's 3401-position model. Lineage: Eukaryota; Metazoa; Arthropoda; Insecta; Diptera; Drosophilidae. The record is from RNAcentral.
AACAAGUACCGUGAGGGAAAGUUGAAAAGAACUCUGAAUAGAGAGUUAAACAGUACGUGAAACUGCUUAGAGGUUAAGCCCGAUGAACCUGAAUAUCCGUUAUGGAAAAUUCAUCAUUAAAAUUGUAAUAUUUAAAUAAUAUUAUGAGAAUAGUGUGCAUUUUUUCCAUAUAAGGACAUUGUAAUCUAUUAGCAUAUACCAAAUUUAUCAUAAAAUAUAACUUAUAGUUUAUUCCAAUUAAAUUGCUUGCAUUUUAACACAGAAUAAAUGUUAUUAAUUUGAUAAAGUGCUGAUAGAUUUAUAUGAUUACAGUGCGUUAAUUUUUCGGAAUUAUAUAAUGGCAUAAUUAUCAUUGAUUUUUGUGUUUAUUAUAUGCACUUGUAUGAUUAACAAUGCGAAAGAUUCAGGAUACCUUCGGGCCCGUCUUGAAACACGGACCAAGGAGUCUAACAUAUGUGCAAGUUAUUGGGAUAUAAACCUAAUAGCGUAAUUAACUUGACUAAUAAUGGGAUUAGUUUUUUAGCUAUUUAUAGCUAAUUAACACAAUCCGGGGCGUUCUAUAUAGUUAUGUAUAAUGUAUAUUUAUAUUAUUUAUGCCUCUAACUGGAACGUACCUUGAGCAUAUAUGCUGUGACCCGAAAGAUGGUGAACUAUACUUGAUCAGGUUGAAGUCAGGGGAAACCCUGAUGGAAGACCGAAACAGUUCUGACGUGCAAAUCGAUUGUCAGAAUUGAGUAUAGGGGCGAAAGACCAAUCGAACCAUCUAGUAGCUGGUUCCUUCCGAAGUUUCCCUCAGGAUAGCUGGUGCAUUUUAAUAUUAUAUAAAAUAAUCUUAUCUGGUAAAGCGAAUGAUUAGAGGCCUUAGGGUCGAAACGAUCUUAACCUAUUCUCAAACUUUAAAUGGGUAAGAACCUUAACUUUCUUGAUAUGAAGUUCAAGGUUAUGAAUAUAAUGUGCCCAGUGGGCCACUUUUGGUAAGCAGAACUGGCGCUGUGGGAUGAACCAAACGUAAUGUUACGGUGCCCAAAUUAACAACUCAUGCAGAUACCAUGAAAGGCGUUGGUUGCUUAAAACAGCAGGACGGUGAUCAUGGAAGUCGAAAUCCGCUAAGGAGUGUGUAACAACUCACCUGCCGAAGCAACUAGCCCUUAAAAUGGAUGGCGCUUAAGUUGUAUACCUAUACAUUACCGCUAAAGUAGAUGAUUUAUAUUACUUGUGAUAUAAAUUUUGAAACUUUAGUGAGUAGGAAGGUACAAUGGUAUGCGUAGAAGUGUUUGGCGUAAGCCUGCAUGGAGCUGCCAUUGGUACAGAUCUUGGUGGUAGUAGCAAAUAAUCGAAUGAGACCUUGGAGGACUGAAGUGGAGAAGGGUUUCGUGUGAACAGUGGUUGAUCACGAGUUAGUCGGUCCUAAGUUCAAGGCGAAAGCCGAAAAUUUUCAAGUAAAACAAAAAUGCCUAACUAUAUAAACAAAGCGAAUUAUAAUACACUUGAAUAAUUUUGAACGAAAGGGAAUACGGUUCCAAUUCCGUAACCUGUUGAGUAUCCGUUUGUUAUUAAAUAUGGGCCUCGUGCUCAUCCUGGCAACAGGAACGACCAUAAAGAAGCCGUCGAGAGAUAUCGGAAGAGUUUUCUUUUCUGUUUUAUAGCCGUACUACCAUGGAAGUCUUUCGCAGAGAGAUAUGGUAGAUGGGCUAGAAGAGCAUGACAUAUACUGUUGUGUCGAUAUUUUCUCCUCGGACCUUGAAAAUUUAUGGUGGGGACACGCAAACUUCUCAACAGGCCGUACCAAUAUCCGCAGCUGGUCUCCAAGGUGAAGAGUCUCUAGUCGAUAGAAUAAUGUAGGUAAGGGAAGUCGGCAAAUUAGAUCCGUAACUUCGGGAUAAGGAUUGGCUCUGAAGAUUGAGAUAGUCGGGCUUGAUUGGGAAACAAUAACAUGGUUUAUGUGCUCGUUCUGGGUAAAUAGAGUUUCUAGCAUUUAUGUUAGUUACUUGUUCCCCGGAUAGUUUAGUUACGUAGCCAAUUGUGGAACUUUCUUGCUAAAAUUUUUAAGAAUACUAUUUGGGUUAAACCAAUUAGUUCUUAUUAAUUAUAACGAUUAUCAAUUAACAAUCAAUUCAGAACUGGCACGGACUUGGGGAAUCCGACUGUCUAAUUAAAACAAAGCAUUGUGAUGGCCCUAGCGGGUGUUGACACAAUGUGAUUUCUGCCCAGUGCUCUGAAUGUCAAAGUGAAGAAAUUCAAGUAAGCGCGGGUCAACGGCGGGAGUAACUAUGACUCUCUUAAGGUAGCCAAAUGCCUCGUCAUCUAAUUAGUGACGCGCAUGAAUGGAUUAACGAGAUUCCUACUGUCCCUAUCUACUAUCUAGCGAAACCACAGCCAAGGGAACGGGCUUGGAAUAAUUAGCGGGGAAAGAAGACCCUUUUGAGCUUGACUCUAAUCUGGCAGUGUAAGGAGACAUAAGAGGUGUAGAAUAAGUGGGAGAUAUUAGACCUCGGUUUGGUAUCGUCAAUGAAAUACCACUACUCUUAUUGUUUCCUUACUUACUUGAUUAAAUGGAACGUGUAUCAUUUCCUAGCCAUUAUACGGAUAUAUUUAUUAUAUCUUAUGGUAUUGGGUUUUGAUGCAAGCUUCUUGAUCAAAGUAUCACGAGUUUGUUAUAUAAUCGCAAACAAAUUCUUUAAUAAAACGAUGCAUUUAUGUAUUUUUGAUUUGAAAAUUUGGUAUAACUCCAAUUACUCAGGUAUGAUCCAAUUCAAGGACAUUGCCAGGUAGGGAGUUUGACUGGGGCGGUACAUCUCUCAAAUAAUAACGGAGGUGUCCCAAGGCCAGCUCAGUGCGGACAGAAACCACACAUAGAGCAAAAGGGCAAAUGCUGACUUGAUCUCGGUGUUCAGUACACACAGGGACAGCAAAAGCUCGGCCUAUCGAUCCUUUUGGUUUAAAGAGUUUUUAACAAGAGGUGUCAGAAAAGUUACCAUAGGGAUAACUGGCUUGUGGCGGCCAAGCGUUCAUAGCGACGUCGCUUUUUGAUCCUUCGAUGUCGGCUCUUCCUAUCAUUGUGAAGCAAAAUUCACCAAGCGUUGGAUUGUUCACCCAUGCAAGGGAACGUGAGCUGGGUUUAGACCGUCGUGAGACAGGUUAGUUUUACCCUACUAAUGACAAAACGUUGUUGCGACAGCAUUCCUGCGUAGUACGAGAGGAACCGCAGGUACGGACCAAUGGCACAAUACUUGUUCGAGCGAACAGUGGUAUGACGCUACGUCCGUUGGAUUAUGCCUGAACGCCUCUAAGGUCGUAUCCGUGCUGGACUGCAAUGAUAAAUAAGGGGCAAUUUGCAUUGU